This 500-nucleotide ribosomal RNA is filed under the name uncultured bacterium. Its description in RNAcentral is "partial 16S ribosomal RNA". It matches the Rfam family "Bacterial small subunit ribosomal RNA", at positions 30 to 523 of the family's 1533-position model. The record is from RNAcentral.
AUUGAACGCUGGCGGCAUGCCUUACACAUGCAAGUCGAACGGCAGCACGGGAGCAAUCCUGUUGGCGAGUGGCGAACGGGUGAGUAAAGUAUCGGAACGUGCCCAGUCGUGGGGGAUAACGUAGCGAAAGUUACGCAAAUACCGCAUACGAUCUAUGGACGAAAGCGGGGGAUCUCAAGACCACGCGGAAUUGGAACGGCCGAUAUCAGAUUAGGUAGUUGGUGGGGUAAAGGCUCACCAAGCCGACGAUCUGUAGCUGGUCUGAGAGGACGACCAGCCACACUGGGACUGAGACACGGCCCAGACUCCUACGGGAGGCAGCAGUGGGGAAUUUUGGACAAUGGGCGAAAGCCUGAUCCAGCCAUGCCGCGUGCAGGAUGAAGGCCUUCGGGUUGUAAACUGCUUUUGUACGGAACGAAAAGGUUUGGCCUAAUAAGCUGAGCUCAUGACGGUACCGUAAGAAUAAGCACCGGCUAACUACGUGCCAGCAGCCGCCGUAA